UGGGGAAUAUUGCGCAAUGGACGAAAGUCUGACGCAGCGACGCCGCGUGUGGGAUGAAGCUCUUCGGGGUGUAAACCACUGUUGCCCGGGAAGAACCUCCUGAUUCAUCAGGAUUGACGGUACCGGGUGAGGAAGCACCGGCUAACUCUGUGCCAGCAGCCGCGGUAAUACAGAGGGUGCGAGCGUUGUCCGGAAUCACUGGGCGUAAAGGGCGCGUAGGUGGCUCGGUAAGUGUGCGGUGAAAGCCCGGGGCUCAACCCCGGGUCGGCCGUGCAGACUGCCAGGCUCGAGCAUAGUAGAGGCAGGUGGAAUUCCGGGUGUAGCGGUGGAAUGCGUAGAGAUCCGGAAGAACACCGGUGGCGAAGGCGGCCUGCUGGGCUAUUGCUGACACUGAGGCGCGACAGCGUGGGGAGCAAACAGGAUUAGAUACCCCGGUAGUCC
RNAcentral lists this ribosomal RNA (441 nucleotides) under uncultured bacterium. RNAcentral's name for it is "bacterial SSU rRNA". It matches the Rfam family "Bacterial small subunit ribosomal RNA", at positions 355 to 796 of the family's 1533-position model. The record is from RNAcentral.